Molecule: long non-coding RNA, 1002 nt
Filed under: Dromaius novaehollandiae (emu)
Lineage: Eukaryota; Metazoa; Chordata; Aves; Casuariiformes; Dromaiidae
Description: lncRNA (ENSDNVG00000009944.1)
Source: RNAcentral
AGGUCAGUCCUGCACAGUUUAAGAUGGCCAAAAAUAACCACCCAACCGAUGAGGAGCCUCUCCAAACGAAAGACGAGGAGARUGCAGGCUAGGAGCUCUUUUUUCCCCUCCUGGACCCCACGGAGGACACUGAAACCAAUGAAAACUAGUGGUUGCAUUGGAAGCUGUGGCUGAAGGAAACAAGAUCCAACCACUUUUGUCACAACCUAAAUCAUGAGGGUGACGGAGGGCUGCGCGGACGGCAACACUUUAACAACUCAUUUCCAUUUUAAUAGACAAAAUUCUGACUCUGCUGCUAAACUGUUGUAUUUUGAGCACGUCAGCCUCCGAUUUGCCCACGGGCGUUCUCCAUUCACCGCGGACUUUCCUGUGUCCUUCAAGCCGGGAAGCGCACGGCCGGGAAGAGCACAGCAAUCCGGGGAUGCACGUCUCGGUCUCGGCUGCGGGCGUCCAGCCGGGUGUCUCGUGGGCUUUGCAGGGCAGCAGAAAAGCCGGCGUAGCACAGCUGGAGCAAAACAUCGCGGCCGAAGCCGCAAGUUAAAUGAGCCGCUCCGGCAGCAUCCCGYGGGCACCGCGGUGCAUCCCAGCAUCGCCGCUCUCGCCAGAAGCCAGGUCGUUCAUCUCAGACAGACGACGUGAUUUCCAGCACUGAAACAGAAACGGGAAAACAUGCAAUGGAAAAAAAACAAACCAACCAUCUGUUUUGUCUCAAGAGGCCUCCUCUUGUAAUGCUUAUACGUGUGAACUUUCCCCCUUWUUUAUAAAAUAUAUAAAAGUAUUUUUAAUACAUCAACCUUAGCAGAGAUUUGUACCAGCACCGUAGUAGUGUGCAGCAUUUGAAAUACAUUUGCAUUUGCUCUGAUGUGUUGUACAGUGCGUCUGCAGUAGCACCCGGUGUAACAGAGAGGGGUAAAGGAGCUGCCCAUGCAGGCGGUCUCUAACGAUAUUGUAAAUGCUCUUUUUCUGCAGAUUUUGCAAUAAAACUUGACAAACUCAUCCUGA